RNAcentral lists this ribosomal RNA (741 nucleotides) under uncultured archaeon. RNAcentral describes it as "bacterial SSU rRNA". It matches the Rfam family "Archaeal small subunit ribosomal RNA", at positions 118 to 859 of the family's 1478-position model. The record is from RNAcentral.
GGACCGGGAUAACCCUGGGAAACUGGGGAUAAUACUGGAUAGGCAAUUUUUCCUGUAAUGGUUUUUUGUUUAAAUGUUUUUUCGCCUAAGGAUGGGUCUGCGGCCGAUUAGGUAGUUGGUUAGGUAAUGGCUUACCAAGCCGUUGAUCGGUACGGGUUGUGAGAGCAAGAGCCCGGAGAUGGAACCUGAGACAAGGUUCCAGGCCCUACGGGGCGCAGCAGGCGCGAAACCUCCGCAAUGUGAGAAAUCGCGACGGGGGGAUCCCAAGUGCCAUUCUUAACGGGAUGGCUUUUCAUUAGUGUAAAGAGCUUUUGGAAUAAGGGCUGGGCAAGACCGGUGCCAGCCGCCGCGGUAACACCGGCAGCUCUAGUGGUAGCAGUUUUUAUUGGGCCUAAAGCGUCCGUAGCCGGUUUAAUAAGUCUCUGGUGAAAUCCUGUAGCUUAACUGUGGGAAUUGCUGGAGAUACUAUUAGACUUGAGAUCGGGAGAGGUUAGAGGUACUCCCAGGGUAGAGGUGAAAUUCUGUAAUCCUGGGAGGACCGCCUGUUGCGAAGGCGUCUAACUGGAACGAUUCUGACGGUGAGGGACGAAAGUUAGGGGCGCGAACCGGAUUAGAUACCCGGGUAGUCCUAACUGUAAACGAUGCGGACUUGGUGUUGGGGUGGCUUUGAGCUGCUCCAGUGCCGAAGGGAAGCUGUUAAGUCCGCCGCCUGGGAAGUACGGUCGCAAGACUGAAACUUAA